This is a long non-coding RNA of Panicum virgatum (switchgrass), 525 nucleotides long. RefSeq lists it as uncharacterized. NCBI's taxonomy places the organism in Eukaryota, Viridiplantae, Streptophyta, Magnoliopsida, Poales, Poaceae. The record is from RefSeq and is a predicted model, not a curated record. The transcript has 3 exons.
CAUCCCCGGCCGCCGGCCGCGACUGUAGAGCCGGUCCGCGCCGUCCCCGGCCUCUGUUCGCGCCGUCCCGGCCGCCGUCCAUGCCGUCCUGACUGCUGAUCCGCGCCCGGCCGCCGCUCCCGACGUCGCCGACGUUGUGCAGCUUGCCGAUCAGUACAAAGCAUCACACCGCCGCCCAACGACAACUCAUCCCUCUACGAUUCUGGGAUGUCUCGGGUAGCAAUUUAUUAUGGAAAUGUGCUUCUCUCUUCGCUUGAAGAAGUCAUCAGGUUUCAAUUACUGAGAUUGGGAUCUGUGAGGAAUGCCUGAACUUGGUCCCAGACGAACUGCAUAAACAUAUAGUCCAUGCUGGAAGGAAUCAUUUUGAGUAGUAAGAUAACUUCUAUGUUGUUAUUUUUCUAAUGCUCUAUGAACAAGUAAUCAUUGAACAAAGAUAUAUCUAUUUGUGCUUGGAUAAGCUCUGUGAAGGACUGAUGGAUGCUUGUUUCAGAUCUUUGCUUGUGUUUGCAAUAGCUUCUUUGCCUA